CUUCUACUCUCGACUAGCUCGUAGUUGGAUUUCGGAGGCUUUAUGGUCCGCCCCUUCGGGGAGCGGGUCACUGGCCUCCUAUGUUCCUAACGGACCUCAUCCGCGAGGGUGGGGAAUCAACCGCUAGGAUCGUUUACUUUGAGGAAAUUAGAGUGUUCAAAGCAGGCGUAACUCGCCUCCGAAUACGUUAGCAUGGGAUAAUGGAAUACGACUUCGGUCUUGUUUCGUUGGUUUCGCUUGGCUGAAGUAAUGAUUGAUAGGGACAGUUGGGGGCAUUAGUAUUUAGUUGUCAGAGGUGAAAUUCUAGGAUUUACUAAAGACUGACCAAUGCGAAAGCAUUUGCCAAGGAUGUUUUCAUUAAUCAAGAACGAAAGUAGGGGGAUCGAAGACGAUCAAAUACCGUCGUAGUCUCUACCGUAAACUAUGCCGACCAGGGAUCCGGAGAGUUUGCAUGGAUGACUCCCCGGGCACCUUGUGAGAAAUCAUAAGUGUUUGGGUUUUGGGGGGAGUAUGGUCGCAAGGCUGAAACUUAAAGGAAUUGACGGAAGGGCACCACCAGGAGUGGAACCUGCGGCUUAAUUUGACUCAACACGGGGAAACUUACGAGGUCAGGACACUGUGAGGAUUGACAGAUUGAU
RNAcentral lists this ribosomal RNA (638 nucleotides) under Vermamoeba vermiformis. Its description in RNAcentral is "SSU rRNA". It matches the Rfam family "Eukaryotic small subunit ribosomal RNA", at positions 606 to 1252 of the family's 1831-position model. Lineage: Eukaryota; Tubulinea; Echinamoebida; Vermamoebidae. The record is from RNAcentral.